Molecule: ribosomal RNA, 253 nt
Filed under: uncultured bacterium
Lineage: Bacteria
Description: partial 16S ribosomal RNA
Rfam family: Archaeal small subunit ribosomal RNA
Source: RNAcentral
UACCAGCACCCCGAGUGGUCGGGACGAUUAUUGGGCCUAAAGCAUCCGUAGCCGGUUCUACAAGUCUUCCGUUAAAUCCACCUGCUUAACAGAUGGGCUGCGGAGGAUACUAUAGAGCUAGGAGGCGGGAGAGGCAAGCGGUACUUAGUGGGUAGGGGUAAAAUCCGUUGAUUCAUUGAAGACCACCAGUGGCGAAGGCGGCUUGCCAGAACGCACUCGACGGUGAGGGAUGAAAGCUGGGGGAGCAAACCGG